UUUCGCAAUGCCCGAAAGGGUGACGAAGCGACGCCGCGUGCGGGAAGAAGGCCUUCGGGUUGUAAACCGCUGUCGGGAGUUAGGAAAUGCAAAGAUGUUAAUAGCGUCUUUGCUUGACUAAGGCUUCGGAGGAAGCCACGGCUAACUCCGUGCCAGCAGCCGCGGUAAUACAGAGGCGGCAAGCGUUGUUCGGAAUUAUUGGGCGUAAAGAGCACGUAGGCGGCCGUGUAAGUCGGUUGUGAAAGCCUUCCGCUCAACGGGAGAGCGGCAUCCGAUACUGCAUGGCUCGAGUGCGGGAGGGGAGAGUGGAACUUCUGGUGGAGCGGUGAAAUGCGUAGAUAUCAGAAGGAACACCGGCGGCGAAGGCGACUCUCUGGCCCGUAACUGACGCUGAGUGUGCGAAAGCUAGGGGAGCAUACGGGAUUAGAUACCCCGGUAGUCCUAGCCGUAAACGAUGGGCACUAAGUAGAGGGGUUUU
This 478-nucleotide ribosomal RNA is filed under the name uncultured bacterium. RNAcentral describes it as "bacterial SSU rRNA". It matches the Rfam family "Bacterial small subunit ribosomal RNA", at positions 364 to 832 of the family's 1533-position model. The record is from RNAcentral.